This 351-nucleotide ribosomal RNA is filed under the name Xantho poressa. RNAcentral's name for it is "partial 12S ribosomal RNA". The record is from RNAcentral. Lineage: Eukaryota; Metazoa; Arthropoda; Malacostraca; Decapoda; Xanthidae.
AUACUAGUAAACAUGGCGAGCCUAGAUUAUUAACAGUUAUAAGCUUUAAAUUCGAAGAAUUUGGCGGUGGUUUAGUCUUGUUAGAGGAACCUGUUUUUGAAUCGAUACACCACGUAAAAUCUCACUCAUUUUAUUUAGUUUAUAUACCGUCAUUAUCAGAUAAUUUUUAGAGAAUUAAUUAUUAAGUUUUAAAAAAUUAAGUUAAAUUAGAUCAAGGUGUAGCUUAUAAAUGAGCUAAAAUGGGUUACAAUAAAAUUUAUUUAUUAUGGAGUAAUUAAUACGAAAUGAUAUUAUGAAGGAGGAUUUAAUUGUAAUAAGAGUUUAAUAAGCUUAAAAGAUAUAAGCUCUAAU